Molecule: non-coding RNA, 22 nt
Filed under: Arabidopsis thaliana (thale cress)
Lineage: Eukaryota; Viridiplantae; Streptophyta; Magnoliopsida; Brassicales; Brassicaceae
Source: RNAcentral
UUGCAUGAUUGUGAUAAUGAUC